This 492-nucleotide ribosomal RNA is filed under the name uncultured bacterium. RNAcentral's name for it is "partial 16S ribosomal RNA". It matches the Rfam family "Bacterial small subunit ribosomal RNA", at positions 29 to 507 of the family's 1533-position model. The record is from RNAcentral.
AGUGAACGCUGGCGGUAGGCCUAACACAUGCAAGUCGAACGGCAGCACAGUAAGAGCUUGCUCUUACGGGUGGCGAGUGGCGGACGGGUGAGGAAUACAUCGGAAUCUACUUUUUCGUGGGGGAUAACGUAGGGAAACUUACGCUAAUACCGCAUACGACCUACGGGUGAAAGCAGGGGAUCUUCGGACCUUGCGCGAUUGAAUGAGCCGAUGUCGGAUUAGCUAGUUGGCGGGGUAAAGGCCCACCAAGGCGACGAUCCGUAGCUGACCUGAGAGGAUGAUCAGCCACACUGGAACUGAGACACGGUCCAGACUCCUACGGGAGGCAGCAGUGGGGAAUAUUGGACAAUGGGCGCAAGCCUGAUCCAGCCAUACCGCGUGGGUGAAGAAGGCCUUCGGGUUGUAAAGCCCUUUUGUUGGGAAAGAAAAGCAGCAGGUUAAUACCCCGCUGUUCUGACGGUACCCAAAGAAUAAGCACCGGCUAACUUCGUG